RNAcentral lists this transfer RNA (70 nucleotides) under Dipodomys ordii (Ord's kangaroo rat). It matches the Rfam family "tRNA". From Rfam's summary of the family: Transfer RNA (tRNA) molecules are approximately 80 nucleotides in length. Their secondary structure includes four short double-helical elements and three loops (D, anti-codon, and T loops). Further hydrogen bonds mediate the characteristic L-shaped molecular structure. tRNAs have two regions of fundamental functional importance: the anti-codon, which is responsible for specific mRNA codon recognition, and the 3' end, to which the tRNAs corresponding amino acid is attached (by aminoacyl-tRNA synthetases). tRNAs cope with the degeneracy of the genetic code in two manners: having more than one tRNA (with a specific anti-codon) for a particular amino acid; and 'wobble' base-pairing, i.e. permitting non-standard base-pairing at the 3rd anti-codon position. Lineage: Eukaryota; Metazoa; Chordata; Mammalia; Rodentia; Heteromyidae. The record is from Rfam by way of RNAcentral.
GGGAAUGUGGCUUAGUGGUAGAGUGCUUGCCUAGUAUGCAAAAAGCCUUGGGUUCAAUUCCUCAGUACCA